CAACCCCUCAAGUAGCUGGAACUACAGGGACAGGGUUUCGCUUUGUUGCCCAGGCUGGUCUCGAAUUCCUAAGCCCUAGUGAUCAUCCCACCUCAGCCUCCCAAACUGCUGAGGCUACAGACCUGCCACACCCGAAGCCUUCUUCAGCUCCAUGGAUGGCUCUCUUCUUCCAAUUGCCCAACAAAAACCCUGGCGUUGCCUUGAAGCACCCCACAUUGAAUCCAUUGGAAAAUCCUACUGGCUCUGCCUUCCUGACUCUGCCCACCGCUGCCUGCCUCCACUGCUCCCAACCUUGUCUGAGCCACAGUGACUUCUCACCUGGUUACUGCAAUGGCCCCAUCUACUCCCCCAGCUUCCUCCUUGUCCCCCUGAAGUUCAUUUAUUUUUAUUUUUAUUUUUAAAUUAAGUAGAGACAUAGUCUCACUAUGGUGUCCAGGCUGGUCUUGAACUCCUGAGCUCAAGUGAUCCUCCCGUCUCAGCCUCCCAAAGUGCUAGGAUUACAGGCAUGAGCCACCAUGCCUGGCCAUCCCUGCAGUUCAUUUUUUUUUUUUUUUUUUUGAGACGGUGUCUGGCUCUGUCACCCAGGCUGCACAAUCUCAGCUCACUGCAACCUCCACCUCCCAGGCUCAAGCCAUCCUUCCGCCUCAGCCUCCCACGUAGGUGGGACUAUGGGUGCACGCCACCACGCCCGGCUAAUUUUUGUGUUUUUUGUAGAGAUGGGGUUUCACCAUGUUGCCCAGGAUGGUCUUGAACUCUUGGCCUCAAGCAAUCUACCCACCUUGGCCUCCCAAAGUGCCAGGAUUACAGGUGUGAGCCACUGCACCCGGCCAUCCCUGCUGUUUAUUUUUAACACAGCAGGCAGAGUGACCCUUUAUGUGCCGGCUCCUUGCUCACUUUGCUACAGGCACUUUGGUCUCCUUGCUGCUCCUCAAACAUGAUAGGCACACUCCUACCUUAGGGCCUUUGCACUGACUUGACUGUUCCCUUUGACAGCAGUAAUCUUCCCUCCAACAGCAGCAUUUCUAAUUCUCACAUCUCUUUGAACUCUUCAUGCAAAUGUCAUCUCUUCUAUGAGGCCUACCCUGAUUACCUUAUGUAUUUGAGAAUAAAUAAAUAAAGCUGGAAUGCAGCAGCGUGAUCUCAGCUCACUGCAACCUCUGCCUCCCAGGCUCAAGUGAUCCUCCUACCUCAGCCUCCCAAGUAGCUGGGACUACAGAUGCAUGCCACCAUACCUGGCUAACUUUUGUAUUUUUAGUGGAGACAGCGUUUCACUAUGUUGGCCAGGCUGGUCUCGAACUCCUGACCUCAAGUGAUCCUCCCACCUAGGCCUCCCAAAGUGCUGGGAUUACAGACGUGAGCCACUGUGCCUGGCCCCUCAUUCCCCUCUUUAAAUGUGAAACAUCUAUCUUCAGCCCUCCCAAUCCCCUUACCCUGUUCUAAUCUUUCUUUCGUUUUUGGCGCUUAAGAUCUUACAGCAUGUUAUAUAAUUUACCUAUUUAUUUUCUGUCUUCCUCCUUUUUCCACCCACCUCCAACUAGAAAAUAAACUCCAUAUGAAAAAGAAUCUUUGUUUUGCUUACUGUUAUCUUUAUAGUACGUAAUAGGUACUCGGUACAUG
Molecule: long non-coding RNA, 1617 nt
Filed under: Homo sapiens (human)
Lineage: Eukaryota; Metazoa; Chordata; Mammalia; Primates; Hominidae
Description: HSALNT0290586
Source: RNAcentral